Molecule: long non-coding RNA, 2448 nt
Organism: Papaver somniferum (opium poppy)
Lineage: Eukaryota; Viridiplantae; Streptophyta; Magnoliopsida; Ranunculales; Papaveraceae
Exons: 9
Source: RefSeq, a predicted model, not a curated record
UAAAAAAAAAAAAAAACGAACCCUAAAAACAAACCCUAAGAUAUGAUUUCUUCAUGGAGAUCGAGAGAAAAUAAAACCUAAAAAAGUUCUUCUUCCUUCUUCUCCUUUAUUCACCCAAAAAAAAAUCUUUCUCCAUGUCUCUUUUCUUCUCCGUCCUUUCUUCUUCUUGAUUGUCUCUGUUUUUUUUAAUACUAUUGAUUUAUUUUUGUUUUUCUGUCGCAGGUGAUAUACUUUGAUGGGAAUCUGUAAAAGGGGUGUAAUUAGGUACGAAAAAAUUAUGGUAGCAUAGAAGGGAAACUCACAACAUAAACACAGAUAUAAGACAAUUGCGUCAUUGGGCUAUGGAGGAGAAAGGCAAUUACGUAACCAUUUCCGGUGGUGGUCGGCAUAAUGCCACAAUAAAAGCUUGCUUGGCUUCUCGAUGCGGAUUUGUGCAAAAGCUUGAACUUUAUAAAAGAUGAUCCAUGAUUGGGAGGAAUUUUCGAUCUGUGGCACUCACAAUUUGUUCCAGCACAAAAAUUGUAACUAGCAUUCCUUCCCGGUCUUCAUGGUUAACGCAAGCCAACAGUGGUUCAGAUGGACGAUAUGUCGAGGGGUAGAUCCAGAUGACAAAUCACAUGUUGAGGGAACCGAAACUCACACGGUGGUUCCUAAAAAGCACUGUUUGGAAGUUCAAAUCACUGCUCUGCGGGGUUAGAGAUUCUGCGGAUUACCUGUGUAAAGGUGAAUCAAAAAAACACCUAUGGAAAAAUCAAAGGGUUGCAUAUUUUUAGUUGAUGCAAUCAAGUGUGAUUUUGGGGUUAAUGGAUUUAACUCUUACAGCAACACAUACUUUAAUGCUUGAUCCAGGGUAUAACCUUCUCUCUUACAACAAUCAAGAUGUAUUCAUCUUGAUUGUACAGAGAUGAAGGUGAACUGUCAAAUGGAAAGUUACAAAUGACAGGCAUAUCCCUGCAACAUACAAUGAACCAAUGCAUAAGUUCCCUCCAUGUAGAGUGCACGGUGUUGUUAAGGCAAUUGAAGGUCAAGGGACAACUAUUGACGUCGUAUUAGUAAAUGGUAUGCCUCAUGAGGGACAUCAGAUUGUGGUACACAGGUAGGUGAUCCAAUAAGAAAAUGUAUAUUAUAUGGAAACACAUGUCCAGCAGGGACAAUGAGUUUAUUUCGACAAGAAUAUGGUAUUUGCCUUCCUCGAGCUGCAAGUAUUAAGUUUACUCUUCUCUGAGAAAUUUGAUAGAACUAACUUCAUAUUGAAGCUUUAGAUAGUUGACUUUUCUAAUAUUUCGCUAAAAUAUUUGCAUCUUAUGUUAUAUGAUUUGAGAUGGGUAAUCCCUGGAAAGCAUGCUAAAUGAGCAUGUUCUGUGAUUACUUUCUGACUUUCUGUGUUUCAGUAAUUUGUAUUACAUGAAAUGUUGUGAUGUAUAUACAGUCUUAGCAUCUUCGAGGCACAAUAACUUCAAAAGUGAUUGAGGAAAAAGGAUGGAUGGAGAGAGUUGGUAUCUGCUAAAAUUCUCUUCUUAAUUAAAAUUCUUAUGUAUACUUUUUUGAGGUAAUUUUGCAUUUCAUAAUUCAUAUGCUUUCCUCUUUUCCAUGUUCUCACGAUCUCAUUCAAGCAAUAACAUAUAAAGGCUUUAGUGUGGUGGUUAUUUGUCGCCUGGAUCCGUUGUGGUGCUAUUUAUUUUUUGUACCUUUAUUAGCUGCUGGGGUGGUUGAUGAUGGCGUCCAAUUAUGACAGGAACAAAAUGGAGUUUACUAUUGCAAUGGGAUUCAGGUAUUUCCCAUAUAACCAGGCAUUGGGUGGUCAUAGAUCAAUCUACAGUAGUGAUAAAAUCAAUCAGAAGAAACAUAGAAGUUGUUGCAGGUGGAUUAAUAAGCUGAAGAGUAAGAGGAUGAGGAUGAGAACCACAAUUUUUAAGAGCAGCAUCAAAGUGAACCUAUGAAAUUCAGAGAUCAGGUUAAGAAAGUAAGAUCCAUUAUAAUUCAAAAAUCUAAGUUGCACAAACACAUCGAUUUAGCAUUUGCAGGAAGAAACUUCCAACAGGUCAAGCACCUGGAGGACAUGUAAGACACAUCACAAUGGAUUUAGCAUUAACAUUAGUGGUGGACAGCACUCUUCGUCCUCCAUCAAUUAGCUCGUCACUACUAAUAGUUGUACAACUGCUAAUACAGGAGGUGGUCAUCAAGUGGUGCUUGAUUUCGAUCUAAAUAAACCGCCGGUGAUGGAAGAGUAAGAAAGUAAUAGAUCUAAUUGUGAACAGUGGGGUUAUAUAUUAAGUUUAAUUCAAAAAUGCAAUUACAUGUGUCGUAGUCCUGAUAACUUUAAUGUAUGUGUUGUCAUUUAUGCCAUUUUUAUGUUCGGAGCCACAUAUAGCGUGGAUAUAAUAUUUGUAAUUUUUAUGUGAUACUUUGUUUAUACAUAAAUGUGAGCCACACCAAAUCAAAAAUUCA